CAAACAGAGGGAGCAUUUUUGAGCCACAAAAAUACUUGAUAUUAAAAAAAGUUCUUGGGCUAAGUCCUAUUACAGCCCAUCUGCAGAUGAUCACUCUGAAUACAGUGGAAAAGAUGCCAUUCCACUCCACAAGGAGCAGACUUCAGGACUAAUUUCCUGGAUUCUGCACCUCCCCAUGACCACAAUAAUAGAAAGAGUAAAGAUAGAAGACAGUCGUGACAGAGGAAAGACUUCAAACUUUAACCUGAAUAGCAACUUUAUAUUCGCUGGCACCAUGGAAACUGCCUGAAAGCUGCAAGUCCCAGAUAUAAAUUACUACCUGUGACCACAUAGCAUCCACAGGAAAUGCUGUCAGACUGAAAUAGGAGGAGAGAAGAGGACAGGAGCAUGGACUGAGCAUUGAAAUGAUCCAAAAAUAAUCCCCACAACCAAGAAGUUAUUCAAUAUUUCAUAUUUUGACUGAUUAAAGUUCUGCGAGUCCCAAUGCAGCCUUUUCAGUGGGCUGGGUUUUGUUUGUUUUUCUUUCCUUCCCCAUCAGAGCUCUGUUUGUCAGAUUCAACUGUUUUUUCCAGGUGGGCUUCCUAAUAAUUUCCUUAAACUUAACCUGCGUGUAUCUUUGUUUGUUUCUUUCUCUUACAUGUACAUAUGCAGAAGGGGGAAAAUACAAUAUUCUUACAUUUGCUUUUGAUAGAGAGAAAAACAACACUGUGGACUCAAAGUUGGGAAUGUUUUUAAAUAAAAUACCCCAUACAUUUAGCUAUUCAACAAGAACUGGGCCUGAUUCUCCUCUGACAUUGAUUUUACACUGGUAUAACUCCAUUGAUUUUAAUGGAGUUAUCUGGAUUUACAACACUCUGAGAAAAGAAUCCAGCCUAUUGGAUUUGGAAAGGAUUACAUGACUAAACCACCAGGCACUGCUUUUAAAACGUACUCCUGUGUUUACAGAAAUAAAAGGGGCAGUCCACUAAAUGUAAACUAAAUCGGUCUUUUGCAUGUCAUGGCCUAAAUUACGUAGGAUGCAAUGUAACCCAAUGUGCUAUAUUGAAAUUUAUAUAAACGUACCCCCAUAACAAUUAUUACUUCAAAUGCUGACAGUUUCUUCUUGCAAAUUUAUUAAUAACAUAUUUGAUUAAAAUAUUGGCCCAGAAUAUUACUGAAGUUAAUUAGCAGCUGAGGCCUCUCUAAGAAGUAGGUCAAAUUUUGAGAUAAUUGAAUAUGCAGGUAUUUCAUCCUUAUUAUCACCUUGUAAAGAAGUUAAGUUUUCUUAAUAUAGAAAGUAAGCUUUAGGACAAUGUGUGUGUGUCACAAGAUGAGAAAACAUUGUUCAUUACUCUUUAAAUAGCCACAUUUCUUUCAAAUGGUUGUUUGUUAAAA
Molecule: long non-coding RNA, 1374 nt
Organism: Mauremys reevesii (Reeves's turtle)
Lineage: Eukaryota; Metazoa; Chordata; Testudines; Geoemydidae
Exons: 3
Source: RefSeq, a predicted model, not a curated record